AUGGUGCCGCUGUGGCAGGUGUCGAUGAUGGCGUGGAGCUUCACGCCGGGGCCCAGCGGCCGGACGAUGGUCUCGUUGAUCUCGUCGUCCAGGAUCUUGCCCUUGUCCUCGAAGUCCAGCGGGCACAGGGCCUCGUUGUACCCGUCCACCUCGUCGCCGGCCGUGUCCAGCUUCUGCACGCCGUGCCCGGAGAAGUGGAACACCAGCGAGUCGCCGGCGUCGCACCCCGCCACCAGCCACCGCAUCGCCAGCAGCAGGUUCUCCCUCGUCGGCACUCUGCUCGGGUCGUCACUCUCCUCUGCCACAAGCACAAACGCAUCGAUCGUACAUCAGAUGAUGAUGAGAUACACUUGCUCACUUCUCGAUGGCUUCUCGGCCGAUGUUUUCUUUCGUGAACGGAUUCUGGGAUUAAUCACUACCGGUGAGGACGAGGAUGGAGUCGCCGGGGAAACCAAACUUGUCGCAGAGGAGGUUCCUCAUCAGCUCGACGUCCUUGGCCGUGCCCUUGAGCCCGUAGGAGGUGCCCGUGUAGCUGACGCCGACGAGGACGGCGCGCUUCUUGCCGCGGGACGCCGGGUAGCCGGCCGGCAGCUCGAGCCUGGCGGAGCGCGCCGUCCGCGGCGGCGACAGGGGCGCGAGCGCGCUCGAUGCGCUGCCCACGCUGCGGUGCCGCUCGACGCGCGUCACGCGGCGGCAGAGCGCACACCGGACGCCGGAGCUCGGCCCCGCCGGCGGCGCCGCGAUGCCCGCGCCGCAGUGCUUGCACCACGACGUCAUCCUAGGCGGCCCGGUGUUGCCCAUGCCGCGGAUGAAAGCUGA
RNAcentral lists this ribosomal RNA (819 nucleotides) under Triticum aestivum (bread wheat). Its description in RNAcentral is "partial small subunit ribosomal RNA". Lineage: Eukaryota; Viridiplantae; Streptophyta; Magnoliopsida; Poales; Poaceae. The record is from RNAcentral.